GUGGGGAAUUUUGGACAAUGGGCGCAAGCCUGAUCCAGCAAUGCCGCGUGCAGGAAGAAGGCCUUCGGGUUGUAAACUGCUUUUGUACGGAACGAAACGGUCCUGGUUAAUACCUGGGGCUAAUGACGGUACCGUAAGAAUAAGCACCGGCUAACUACGUGCCAGCAGCCGCGGUAAUACGUAGGGUGCGAGCGUUAAUCGGAAUUACUGGGCGUAAAGCGUGCGCAGGCGGUGCUGUAAGACAGGCGUGAAAUCCCCGGGCUCAACCUGGGGAUUGCGCUUGUGAAUGCAGUGAUGGAGUACGGCAGAGGGGGAUGGAAUUCCGCGUGUAGCAGUGAAAUGCGUAGAUAUGCGGAGGAACACCGAUGGCGAAGGCAGUCCCCUGGGCCUGUACUGACGCUCAUGCACGAAAGCGUGGGGAGCAAACAGGAUUAGAUACCCGAGUAGUCC
This 450-nucleotide ribosomal RNA is filed under the name uncultured bacterium. RNAcentral describes it as "partial 16S ribosomal RNA". It matches the Rfam family "Bacterial small subunit ribosomal RNA", at positions 354 to 796 of the family's 1533-position model. The record is from RNAcentral.